This 1090-nucleotide long non-coding RNA is filed under the name Fukomys damarensis (Damara mole-rat). RNAcentral describes it as "lncRNA (ENSFDAG00000032634.1)". Lineage: Eukaryota; Metazoa; Chordata; Mammalia; Rodentia; Bathyergidae. The record is from RNAcentral.
AUGUACUCCUGGGACUACGACAGGACUGGAAGGGAAGCGAUGCGCAGUCCAGUGCAAACCGGUUAUCGAAGCAAGGCUUUGGCAUCACAGAAAGGCGUGGCUUACAAGACGGCUUCCAGAUCGGCCCCUCCUGGGCCCGUCACUUGCUUUGAGGAGUUUCAGCUCCCAAGUUUGGGAAAUGGAGCUGCUAAACCUCCGCCACUUGACACAGCACCGUCUUUUCGCCAGCCAGUCUGUUCGUGCGUGCCUAGGUCCUUGCGUGCGUGCGUGCGUGCGUCAGUGCGUCCGUCCUCGCAUUUGUGCGUGCGUGCGUCCGUGCGUGCGUCCGUCCGUGCGUGCGUCCAGGCAUCUGCCAUCACCACGACCCCCUGUACCCCUGCUUCUGGGUCAUUUGGGUGUCUGUCGUGCUCUGAACUCAGACCCACGGAAUUCCAGCCCUGUAAAGUAAUUUGGAACACGCCCAGGAUUUACGGUGGCCUGUCCUCAGUCCCUCAGAAGCCACUGACUGUGGCUGUGGGAUCAGCAUACGCACUGUCUUCUCUUCAUGACGUGGAGCAGCCAGUAUCCCAAGCCUCAUCUGUGCCCUGAUAAACACAGCCAGCUGCGGACCUGAGUGGGGACCCAUGGGCAUCACCUGGGAACUCGCCAGAAGUGCUCAUUCAGGACUCCCUCUCAGAGUUCCAGUCAGAAGCCUGGGGUCUUCUGGUGUGGGCCAGGAUUUGGAGCUGAAACUGUGGGAGAGAUGUGUGGCUGGGGGCCACUGUGCUGGGGCGAGGGCCAGAAGAUGUGGGACAGAGCAGCGGGUAGGUAUGUGCAGUUUGAAAAAGCCCCUGGGGUGAUUCUAACCUCUCCCCCCACCAACCUUAUCUAUCUGAGAACUGGAACCGAAUUCCGCAACAGUCCACAACAGUCUCCUAAUUUUGAUGAUUUUUGUCAGCUUUCAAAAUUGUGUAGCACCACUGGAGAGACCGGGGUUUGGCCUGGGACUCUCCCUCCUAGUUGUCUAGUCUGAAGACAUGCUGUGGAAGGGGGCUUGAGCCAGGAAAUCUGGAACAUGAGGGAUGGGGAGCUGCUUUGCUGAUGGUCAAGC